Molecule: long non-coding RNA, 294 nt
Organism: Mya arenaria
Lineage: Eukaryota; Metazoa; Mollusca; Bivalvia; Myida; Myidae
Exons: 3
Source: RefSeq, a predicted model, not a curated record
CGGACCACGAUGAAUUUUGUGAAGUGGGAUUGUCUCAUUUUAGCAGUUCUUUCGCUCUGUACGUCGAUAUGCUCAACACAAGCGUCGCUUAUUCGCCUGAAAGGGGAGCAGAAGAUUCAAUUUCGCUGUAGCUGUAGAUAUGUGAUUAUUUCUGUUGACUGUCUACUGCUACAGACUGUCAUCAUCGCUGCUUAAACGCGCACCAAAAUGACGAUAAGUAUUGCAAAGAUGAUGGAGACGGUGUAACAUAUUGUAAAAUGUGUGAACCAUGGUGGACGGGAAACCACUGCAAAG